RNAcentral lists this ribosomal RNA (171 nucleotides) under uncultured bacterium. RNAcentral's name for it is "partial 16S ribosomal RNA". It matches the Rfam family "Bacterial small subunit ribosomal RNA", at positions 338 to 524 of the family's 1533-position model. The record is from RNAcentral.
CCUACGGGAGGCAGCAGUGGGGAAUUUUCCGCAAUGGGCGAAAGCCUGACGGAGCAAUGCCGCGUGAAGGCAGAAGGCCCACGGGUCAUGAACUUCUUUUCUAGGAGAAGAAAAAAUGACGGUAUCUGAGGAAUAAGCAUCGGCUAACUCUGUGCCAGCAGCCGCGGUAAU